AGGUUAUGAGAAAACGCGGAUAAA
RNAcentral lists this non-coding RNA (24 nucleotides) under Arabidopsis thaliana (thale cress). The record is from RNAcentral. Lineage: Eukaryota; Viridiplantae; Streptophyta; Magnoliopsida; Brassicales; Brassicaceae.